RNAcentral lists this ribosomal RNA (441 nucleotides) under Triticum aestivum (bread wheat). RNAcentral's name for it is "partial small subunit ribosomal RNA". Lineage: Eukaryota; Viridiplantae; Streptophyta; Magnoliopsida; Poales; Poaceae. The record is from RNAcentral.
AUGAACGUCUGGCAGAGCAAAGCUGAUGACUACUCGAUAGUUCAGCGUGCCAUGCUUUACAGCUUAGAAUCAGGACUAAAACGACGUUUUGAACGUCAUGCAGCAUAUGAGAUGUUCCAGGAGUUGAAGUUAAUAUUUCAAGCAAAUGCCCGGAUUGAGAGAUAUGAAGUCUCCAAUAAGUUCUACAGCUGCAAGAUGGAGGAGAACAGUUCUGUUAGUGAACAUACACUCAGAAUGUCUGGGUACCACAACCACUUGACUCAACUGGGAGUUAAUCUUCCUGAUGAUAGUGUCAUUGACAGAGUUCUUCAAUCAUUGCCACCAAGCUACAAAAGCUUUGUGAUGAACUAUAAUAUGCAAGGGAUGGAUAAGACAAUUGCCGAGCUCUUCGCAAUGCUAAAAGCUGCGGAGGUAGAAAUCAAGAAGGAGCUCAAGUGUUGA